Molecule: non-coding RNA, 110 nt
Organism: Otolemur garnettii (small-eared galago)
Lineage: Eukaryota; Metazoa; Chordata; Mammalia; Primates; Galagidae
Source: Rfam
GCACACCCACUUCGGCAGCACAUUUACUAAAAUUGGAGUAAUACAAAGAAGAUUAGCAUGGCCCCUGCACGAGGAUGAUAACGUAAAUUCAUGAAGCAUUCCAUAUUUUU